This 253-nucleotide ribosomal RNA is filed under the name uncultured bacterium. Its description in RNAcentral is "partial 16S ribosomal RNA". It matches the Rfam family "Bacterial small subunit ribosomal RNA", at positions 524 to 776 of the family's 1533-position model. The record is from RNAcentral.
UACAGAGGGGGCAAGCGUUGUUCGGAAUUACUGGGCGUAAAGGGCACGUAGGCGGCCUGUUAAGUCGAACGUGAAAUCCCCGGGCUCAACCCGGGAACUGCGUCCGAUACUGGCAGGCUUGAAUCCGGGAGAGGGAUGCGGAAUUCCAGGUGUAGCGGUGAAAUGCGUAGAUAUUGGGAAGAACACCGGUGGCGAAGGCGCUCUACUGGGCCAUAACUGACACUGAUGGACGAAAGCUAGGGGAGCGAAAGGG